Molecule: ribosomal RNA, 253 nt
Filed under: uncultured bacterium
Lineage: Bacteria
Description: partial 16S ribosomal RNA
Rfam family: Bacterial small subunit ribosomal RNA
Source: RNAcentral
UACGGAGGGUGCGAGCGUUGUUCGGAUUCACUGGGCGUAAAGGGUGCGUAGGCGGUCGGGUAAGUCUGAUGUGAAAUCUCACAGCUUAACUGUGAAACUGCAUUGGAUACUAUCCGGCUAGAGGAAUGGAGGGGAGACUGGAAUACUUGGUGUAGCAGUGAAAUGCGUAGAUAUCAAGUGGAACACCAGUGGCGAAGGCGAGCCUCUGGACAUUUCCUGACGCUGAGGCACGAAAGCCAGGGGAGCAAACGGG